Molecule: small nuclear RNA, 140 nt
Organism: Chelonoidis abingdonii (Abingdon island giant tortoise)
Lineage: Eukaryota; Metazoa; Chordata; Testudines; Testudinidae
Product: U4 spliceosomal RNA
Source: RefSeq, a predicted model, not a curated record
GUAUAAGUGCAGUGGCAGUAUCGUAGCUAAUGAGGUUAAUCCGAGGUGCGAUUAUUGCUAGGUGAAAACAUUUGAGCAUGUUAAUUAGAAGAAGUAAUGCCUUUCUGUCUGAUUAAGGUUCUUGGCUGUUAAAAGAGAAA